This 500-nucleotide ribosomal RNA is filed under the name uncultured bacterium. RNAcentral's name for it is "partial 16S ribosomal RNA". It matches the Rfam family "Bacterial small subunit ribosomal RNA", at positions 30 to 523 of the family's 1533-position model. The record is from RNAcentral.
AUUGAACGCUGGCGGAAUGCUUUACACAUGCAAGUCGAACGGCAGCACGGACUUCGGUCUGGUGGCGAGUGGCGAACGGGUGAGUAAUGUAUCGGAACGUGCCCAGUCGUGGGGGAUAUCGUAGUGAAAAUUACGCUAAUACCGCAGACGAUGUAUGGAUGAAAGCGGGGGAUCGCAAGACCUCGCGCGAUGGGAGCGGGCGAGAUCAGAUUAGGUAGUUGGUGGGGUAAAGGCCCACAAAGCCAACGAUCUGUAGCUGGUCUGAGAGGACGACCAGCCACACUGGAACUGAGACACGGUCCUGACUCCUACGGGAGGCAGCAGUGGGGAAUUUUGGACAAUGGGCGAAAGCCUGAUCCAGCCAUUCCGCGUGCAGGAUGAAGGCCCUCGGGUUGUAAACUGCUUUUGUACAGAACGAAAAGGUUUCUACUAAUACUAGGAGCUCAUGACGGUACUGUAAGAAUAAGCACCGGCUAACUACGUGCCAGCCGCCGCCGUAA